Molecule: ribosomal RNA, 718 nt
Filed under: uncultured bacterium
Lineage: Bacteria
Description: bacterial SSU rRNA
Rfam family: Bacterial small subunit ribosomal RNA
Source: RNAcentral
GAGUUUGAUCCUGGCUCAGGAUGAACGCUGGCGGCGUGCUUAACACAUGCAAGUCGAACGGGGUACCCUUGACAGAGGCUUCGGCCAAUUGAUAGGAAUACCUAGUGGCGGACGGGUGAGUAACGCGUGAGGAACCUGCCUUGGAGUGGGGAAUAACAGUUAGAAAUAGCUGCUAAUACCGCAUAAUACAGCGGAGUCGCAUGGCUCUGCUGUCAAAGAUUUAUCGCUCUGAGAUGGCCUCGCGUCUGAUUAGUUUGUUGGCGGGGUAACGGCCCACCAAGACGACGAUCAGUAGCCGGACUGAGAGGUUGGCCGGCCACAUUGGGACUGAGACACGGCCCAGACUCCUACGGGAGGCAGCAGUGGGGAAUAUUGGGCAAUGGGCGCAAGCCCGACCCAGCAACGCCGCGUGAAGGAAGAAGGCCCUCGGGUUGUAAACUUCUUUUAUCAGGGACGAAGAAGUGACGGUACCUGAUGAAUAAGCCACGGCUAACUACGUGCCAGCAGCCGCGGUAAUACGUAGGUGGCAAGCGUUAUCCGGAUUUACUGGGUGUAAAGGGCGUGUAGGCGGGGAAGCAAGUCAGAUGUGAAAUUCCAGGGCUCAACCCUGGAACUGCAUUUGAAACUGUUUUUCUUGAGUGAUGGAGAGGCAGGCGGAAUUCCGUGUGUAGCGGUGAAAUGCGUAGAUAUACGGAGGAACACCAGUGGCGAAGGCGGC